UACGUAGGAGGCGAGCGUUGUCCGGAAUCACUGGGCGUAAAGCGCGUGUAGGCGGAUGACUAAGUUUGCUGUGAAAGCGCCUGGCUUAACCAGGCGAGGUCGGCGAAAACUAGUCGUCUGGAGGCCGGUAGAGGGGGGUGGAAUUCCGGGUGUAGUGGUGAAAUGCGUAGAGAUCCGGAGGAACACCCGUGGCGCAGGCGGCCCCCUGGGCCGCGCCUGACGCUGAGACGCGAAAGCGCGGGGAGCGAACGGG
Molecule: ribosomal RNA, 253 nt
Filed under: uncultured bacterium
Lineage: Bacteria
Description: partial 16S ribosomal RNA
Rfam family: Bacterial small subunit ribosomal RNA
Source: RNAcentral